CAGUGGGGGAAGGACCCACCCAAGGAAGUUGUUGGUUGAACUUGGUAGCUUGCGAGCGUCCGAGCCGGGAAACCGGCCAGGGCGAAGCCU
Molecule: unclassified non-coding RNA, 90 nt
Filed under: Candidatus Sulfopaludibacter sp. SbA6
Lineage: Bacteria; Pseudomonadati; Acidobacteriota; Terriglobia; Bryobacterales; Solibacteraceae
Description: group-II-D1D4-4
Source: RNAcentral